UACGAAGGGGGCUAGCGUUGCUCGGAAUCACUGGGCGUAAAGGGUGCGUAGGCGGGUUUUUAAGUCAGGGGUGAAAUCCUGGAGCUCAACUCCAGAACUGCCUUUGAUACUGAAGAUCUUGAGUUCGGGAGAGGUGAGUGGAACUGCGAGUGUAGAGGUGAAAUUCGUAGAUAUUCGCAAGAACACCAGUGGCGAAGGCGGCUCACUGGCCCGAUACUGACGCUGAGGCGCGAAGGCGUGGGGAGCAAACAGG
Molecule: ribosomal RNA, 253 nt
Filed under: uncultured bacterium
Lineage: Bacteria
Description: partial 16S ribosomal RNA
Rfam family: Bacterial small subunit ribosomal RNA
Source: RNAcentral